GUCCGUAUAUGAGAUCAUGGCCAGCUUUCAUAGGAUGACUGUGGCUGUCAAUGUAAUAAUUCACUUCGAUAAAAAAUCGAGAUGAGAUCAAGUAUCAUAUGAGACUCUGGAUGUCUUAGAUAUAUGAAACAUUUUGCUUCAGAUCAGUAUUUAUAUGAAUUGAAAUCAGUCAGAUCAGUAUUUACAGGAUUGAUCAUAAUACUUCAUCAAAAGUCAAUUCAGAUAGCUC
RNAcentral lists this long non-coding RNA (229 nucleotides) under Elaeis guineensis (African oil palm). RNAcentral's name for it is "long non-coding RNA (EGUI_LNC044207)". Lineage: Eukaryota; Viridiplantae; Streptophyta; Magnoliopsida; Arecales; Arecaceae. The record is from RNAcentral.